GGGUCAGUAGGUUGGUCGUGCCACCGGUACGUACUGGUCUCACUGAUUCCUCCUUCCUGAAGAACUGUAAUGCCAUUAAUUUGGUGUUGCGGGGGAACAGGACUGUUACUUUGAAAAAAUUAGAGUGUUUAAAGCAAGCUAACGCUUGAAUACAUUAGCAUGGAAUAAUGAAAUAGGACGAUCGAUCCUAUUUUGUUGGUUUCUAGGAUUGACGUA
Molecule: ribosomal RNA, 216 nt
Filed under: Glomeromycotina sp.
Lineage: Eukaryota; Fungi; Glomeromycota
Description: partial small subunit ribosomal RNA
Rfam family: Eukaryotic small subunit ribosomal RNA (bases 40-216)
Source: RNAcentral